UACGUAGGUGGCUAGCGUUGUCCGGAUUUACUGGGCGUAAAGAGCGCGCAGGCGGUCGUUCAAGUCGAGUGUGAAAGCCCCCGGCUCAACUGGGGAGGGUCACUCGAUACUGAUCGACUCGAAGGCAGGAGAGGGAAGCGGAAUUCCCGGUGUAGUGGUGAAAUGCGUAGAUAUCGGGAGGAACACCAGUGGCGAAGGCGACUACCUGGCCUGUUCUUGACGCUGAGGCGCGAAAGCUAGGGGAGCAAACGGG
This 253-nucleotide ribosomal RNA is filed under the name uncultured bacterium. Its description in RNAcentral is "partial 16S ribosomal RNA". It matches the Rfam family "Bacterial small subunit ribosomal RNA", at positions 524 to 776 of the family's 1533-position model. The record is from RNAcentral.